AAUCACAUUCAUAAUAUUUAAUUCAUGUUUAGUACACAAUGCAUAUACACAAUUGCACUCUUCUAUUCAUCACAAACUGCCAUUCAUCCAUACAUUCAUUCAACAUAUAUAAAGAUUCAUUUGUUUUCUUCGCUCAAGAUAGCUACAACCAUCAAGGAAAUACAUCAGUUUGACAUACAAGACAAGUUGUUGCAAAAUUUGAUGGCUAAGAUCCUAAGAGACCAAUUGUUCGAUCACUGACUACUACAAAUUUGAUGGCAGAGACCAAUUCUUCGAUCACCAAGCCAACAUGAACUUUUGUAUGAACAAAAGGUGUCAACCAUGUUAUCAACAAAAGCGAUCACGGAGCAUCUUAGAUCAACUUGUGGACUUGCUAUUUUCUGCCAUUUGUCCCUGCAAAAGAACUUACUGCCUUGCUAGAUAAAAGCACCAAAUAGUCAUAAAUAGAAAAACCUUUACACACUCUACAGAGUAAUAAAUCAAUCAUGGCAUGCCACCUUUGAAGAAACCAAUAGAGCUCUAUCGCCAGGUAUAACAACAGCAACAAGGGACAUACUUGGUCAAGCUUGAUGUAAAGUAUCCAAUAGUUUCUGCAUAAGGUAAAACAAAUCUGGGUGUAAGCUGGCACAUAUACCGACAUAAACAUUAACAUGAAAAAUUUAUUUGUAAUCUAAAUAAGUAGCGUAGGAUCCUAAAUAUAUACCAGGAUAGUUUAGCAAUGCAAAUAAUAUAGCUGUCUGAAUUACCAUCGUCGGCCAGCAGUUCAAGUAUGGUAAUAAUACAAUGGCAUUCCUGACAUGACUCGUGGCCCUAUUUUGGAAGGUUAAAUAUGUAAAUGGCAAGCAAACAUACAAGGAACUGGGAAAGUAUCAAUGCAUUGUUUCUUUUGUAGUAUCAUGUCCGAAUAGAGAUACUAAUUUUUGGACAGCAAACUUGAGGUGGUCGCUGCUCUCAAACUGCCCAGUAAAAAUACACAAAUAAAUACUCUCUAGAAAGCUUAAGAAGUACACUAUAACUUCUAUUUGGAGACUAAGUCAAAAUUCAACGUGUAUCAAACCGAUAUUUAACCCAAAUCUUACUACACCAUAACUAUUACGAGGUGAUUGAACUGCUUUUUGAAACUGCAAUAAACGCUGGAGAUGAACAUCUUCUAGCAAGCAACAAAAUUGCCAUACCAGCAGAUACAAACAGAUGUUGCAUCCUAAUCCACCCACUAUAGCCACAAUGUUGUAGUGACCUAAACAAACUGGUACUGGUGUACUUCCGUUCUUAGUGUAACUGUAGAAUAUAGUAGGCUGACACAAAUAGGAUGUGGUCUGGCUAAAACAACAACUUUUAAACCGUCAGCAUAUCUUAUUUGGUUACCUAGAAAAUUUUCAAGUUGUUACCCCUGAGCAUUUUCCUGUCAGCAAGUUCAGUAGCUCAACUGAACAAUUAUGUUGGAAUUGAGAAUAAAAUCAUAUAUAGAAGCUCCCUUUGUACCUCUGAAUAUAUAAGGUGUAGUAGAUUAGAAACAAAUUAC
This 1522-nucleotide long non-coding RNA is filed under the name Triticum aestivum (bread wheat). Its description in RNAcentral is "long non-coding RNA (TAES_LNC007595)". Lineage: Eukaryota; Viridiplantae; Streptophyta; Magnoliopsida; Poales; Poaceae. The record is from RNAcentral.